RNAcentral lists this transfer RNA (82 nucleotides) under Bacteroidales bacterium. RNAcentral's name for it is "tRNA-Leu". It matches the Rfam family "tRNA". Rfam says of the family: Transfer RNA (tRNA) molecules are approximately 80 nucleotides in length. Their secondary structure includes four short double-helical elements and three loops (D, anti-codon, and T loops). The record is from RNAcentral. RNAcentral also lists the same sequence under 1 other name. Lineage: Bacteria; Pseudomonadati; Bacteroidota; Bacteroidia; Bacteroidales.
GCGGAUGUGGCGUAAUUGGUAGCCGCGCCAGACUUAGGAUCUGGUUUCGUAAGAAGUAUGGGUUCGAGUCCCUUCAUCCGCA